Peromyscus maniculatus bairdii (prairie deer mouse) is the source of this 542-nucleotide non-coding RNA. The record is from RefSeq and is a predicted model, not a curated record. Lineage: Eukaryota; Metazoa; Chordata; Mammalia; Rodentia; Cricetidae.
UCUAAUCCUCAGGACAGCAGGGCUGGGCGUCUUGAAGCGACUUCCUGCAGUUCUGAUUGGCUCAACACCAAUUGACUCUGUCCUGCUCACACCCUACAGAGACUCACACCCACUGUCUUGCCAGGCUGUCUGGUCACUACUCCAGAGGCAGGAGGGAGAAAAAAGAACGUGACGCCAGGAACAGAGACUGUUCUAAUUUUAUUACAGCACAUGGCAAUGCUUCUCACAGAUCUCCCUCGCUGACUAGAGAACAAAGACGCAGACUCUGAAACCCAUGUGGAGGAAGGCAGGACCAGCCGGAUCCUUGGGGACACAUCCAUGACUCCAGGAGGCUGACAGAAGAACAGAAAUGUCACAGAGAAGCAAAGUGGAAGCCUGGAGUGCCCAGCACCGCUCAGGCCAGGCAUGGUUAUUGCCAUGAGUGCCAACCGAUAAUGGACUGAGAACACUAUUGGCUACAAAAGGAGCUCUCAAGAGUAACUUAAGAAGAAAAAGUCUGUGUUAAUCAAAAAUAGUAUUCAAAUGUUUCUAAAUUUUCUUUA